This 497-nucleotide ribosomal RNA is filed under the name uncultured bacterium. RNAcentral describes it as "partial 16S ribosomal RNA". It matches the Rfam family "Bacterial small subunit ribosomal RNA", at positions 28 to 507 of the family's 1533-position model. The record is from RNAcentral.
GACGAACGCUGGCGGCGUGCCUAAUACAUGCAAGUAGAACGCUGAAGAGAGGAGCUUGCUCUUCUUGGAUGAGUUGCGAACGGGUGAGUAACGCGUAGGUAACCUGCCUUGUAGCGGGGGAUAACUAUUGGAAACGAUAGCUAAUACCGCAUAACAAUGGAUGACACAUGUCAUUUAUUUGAAAGGGGCAAUUGCUCCACUACAAGAUGGACCUGCGUUGUAUUAGCUAGUAGGUGAGGUAAUGGCUCACCUAGGCGACGAUACAUAGCCGACCUGAGAGGGUGAUCGGCCACACUGGGACUGAGACACGGCCCAGACUCCUACGGGAGGCAGCAGUAGGGAAUCCUCGGCAAUGGGGGCAACCCUGACCGAGCAACGCCGCGUGAGUGAAGAAGGGUUUCGGAUCGUAAAGCUCUGUUGUAAGUCAAGAACGGGUGUGAGAGUGGAAAGUUCACACUGUGACGGUAGCUUACCAGAAAGGGACGGCUAACUACGUG